Molecule: non-coding RNA, 194 nt
Filed under: unidentified
Description: Candidatus Burkholderia FMN sequence
Rfam family: FMN riboswitch aptamer (RFN element)
About the family: The RFN element is a highly conserved domain that is found frequently in the 5'-untranslated regions of prokaryotic mRNAs that encode for flavin mononucleotide (FMN) biosynthesis and transport proteins.
Source: RNAcentral
ACAUGUUCUCGGGGCGGGGUGCGAUUCCCCACCGGCGGUAAUCGUUCCUGGCAUGUUGCGGAACGUAGCCCGCGAGCGCUCUUCGAUCUCUUCCUUGCGUGUCCGGUUCCGUCGGCCAUGCCGUGAUCGACGAGGUCAGCAGACCCGGUUGGAUUCCAGGGCCGACGGUACAGUCCGGAUGAAAGAGAACAGGA